This 176-nucleotide non-coding RNA is filed under the name Monodelphis domestica (gray short-tailed opossum). Its description in RNAcentral is "Eukaryotic large subunit ribosomal RNA". It matches the Rfam family "Eukaryotic large subunit ribosomal RNA", at positions 2621 to 2802 of the family's 3401-position model. The record is from Rfam by way of RNAcentral. Lineage: Eukaryota; Metazoa; Chordata; Mammalia; Didelphimorphia; Didelphidae.
UUCUGUGGUGACCUGUCAAACCGUAACACAGGUGUCCUAAGGCGAGCUCAGGGAGGACAGAAACCUCCUGUGGAGCAGAAAGGCAAAAGCUCGCUUGAUCUUGAUUUUCAGUAUGAAUACAGACUGUGAAAGCGGGGCCUCACAAUCCUUCUGACCUUUGGGGUUUUAAGCAGGAG